This 339-nucleotide unclassified non-coding RNA is filed under the name soil metagenome. RNAcentral describes it as "partial contains 5.8S ribosomal RNA, internal transcribed spacer 2, and large subunit ribosomal RNA". The stretch from base 1 to 121 matches the Rfam family "5.8S ribosomal RNA", at positions 35 to 154 of the family's 154-position model. The record is from RNAcentral.
GAUGAAGAACGCAGCGAAAUGCGAUAAGUAAUGCGAAUUGCAGAAUUUCCGUGAGUCAUCGAAUCUUUGAACGCACAUUGCACCUCUCGGUAUUCCGGGAGGUAUGCCUGUUCGAGCGUCAUUUGUACCCUCAAGCUCUGCUUGGUGUUGGGUGUUUGUUCCGCCUCUGUGUGUGAACUCGCCUCAAAACAAUUGGCAGCCGGCGUACUUGUUUCGGAGCGCAGCACAUUUUGCGAUCCAGAUCAACGUACAGCGGCAUCCAAGAAGCCUUAUUUAACGCUCUUGACCUCGGAUCAGGUAGGGAUACCCGCUGAACUUAAGCAUAUCAAUAAGCGGAGA